GAUGAACGCUGGCGGCGUGCCUAAUACAUGCAAGUCGAGCGAACAGACGAGGAGCUUGCUCCUCUGACGUUAGCGGCGGACGGGUGAGUAACACGUGGACAACCUACCUAUAAGACUGGGAUCACUUCGGGAAACCGGAGCUAAUACCGGAUAAUAUAUUGAACCGCAUGGUUCAAUAGUGAAAGACGGUUUUGCUGUCACUCAUAGAUGGAUCCGCGCCGCAUUAGCUAGUUGGUAAGGUAACGGCUUACCAAGGCGACGAUGCGUAGCCGCCCUGAGAGGGUGAUCGGCCACACUGGAACUGAGACACGGUCCAGACUCCUACGGGAGGCAGCAGUAGGGAAUCUUCCACAAUGGGCGAAAGCCUGACGGAGCAACGCCGCGUGAGUGAUGAAGGGCUUCGGAUCGUAAAACUCUGUUAUUAGGGAAGAACAAAUGUGUAAGUAACUAGUCACGUCUUGACGGUACCUAAUCAAAAAGCCACGGCUAACUACGUG
This 497-nucleotide ribosomal RNA is filed under the name uncultured bacterium. RNAcentral describes it as "partial 16S ribosomal RNA". It matches the Rfam family "Bacterial small subunit ribosomal RNA", at positions 28 to 507 of the family's 1533-position model. The record is from RNAcentral.